AUGCUGGCGGCGUGCCUAACACAUGCAAGUCGAGCGGCAGCGAGUUUUACACUGAAUUCUGGAAGCUUCUGGGUAAUAUAGAAGAUCUAUUCAAGAAUUUUGUGUAAAAUGUCGGCGAGCGGCGGACGGCUGAGUAACGCGUAGGAAUUUGCCCCAAAGUGAGGAAUAACUGCCCGAAAGGGUAGCUAAUGCCGCAUAUGGUCUUCGGAUUAAAGCCUUCGGGCGCUUUGGGAGAAGCCUGCGUUGGAUUAGGUAGUUGGUAGGGUAAUGGCCUACCAAGCCGACGAUCCAUAGCUGGUCUGUGAGGAUGAUCAGCCAGACUGGAACUGAGACACGGUCCAGACUCCUACGGGAGGCAGCAGUGAGGAAUCUUCCACAAUGGGCGAAAGCCUGAUGGAGCAACGCCGCGUGAAGGAUGAAGGCCUUCGGGUUGUAAACUUCUUUUAUGAGUGAAGAAUAUGACGGUAACUCAUGAAUAAGCACCGGCUAACUACGUGCCAGCAGCCGCGGUCAUACGUAGGGUGCAAGCAUUAUCCGGAGUGACUGGGCGUAAAGAGUUGCGUAGGCGGUUUAAUAAGUGAAUAGUGAAACCUGGUGGCUCAACCAUACAGACUAUUAUUCAAACUGUUAAACUCGAGAAUGGUAGAGGUAACUGGAAUUUCUAGUGUAGGAGUGAAAUCCGUAGAUAUUAGAAGGAACACCGAUGGCGUAGGCAGGUUACUGGGCCAUUUCUGACGCUAAGGCACGAAAGCGUGGGGAGCGAACCCGAUUAGAUACCCGGGUAGUCCACGCCGUAAACGAUGGAUACUAGCUGUUGGAGGUAUCGACCCCUUCAGUAGCGAAGCUAACGCGUUAAGUAUCCCGCCUGUGGAGUGCGGCCGCAAGGCUAAAACAUAAAGGAAUUGACGGG
RNAcentral lists this ribosomal RNA (910 nucleotides) under uncultured bacterium. RNAcentral describes it as "bacterial SSU rRNA". It matches the Rfam family "Bacterial small subunit ribosomal RNA", at positions 33 to 917 of the family's 1533-position model. The record is from RNAcentral.